GGCUGCGUAUUUCUACUCUCAAGUUUUAGAGCUAGAAAUAGCAAGUUAAAAUAAGGCUAGUCCGUUAUCAACUUGAAAAAGUGGCACCGAGUCGGUGCUUCG
This 102-nucleotide small RNA is filed under the name Streptococcus pyogenes. RNAcentral's name for it is "Single-guide RNA from Streptococcus pyogenes (PDB 7S38, chain R)". Lineage: Bacteria; Bacillati; Bacillota; Bacilli; Lactobacillales; Streptococcaceae. The record is from RNAcentral.